GAUGAACGCUGGCGGCGUGCCUAAUACAUGCAAGUCGAGCGAACAGAUGAGGAGCUUGCUCCUCUGACGUUAGCGGCGGACGGGUGAGUAACACGUGGAUAACCUACCUAUAAGACUGGGAUAACUUCGGGAAACCGGAGCUAAUACCGGAUAAUAUAUUGAACCGUAUGGUUCAAUAGUGAAAGACGGUUUUGCUGUCACUUAUAGAUGGAUCCGCGCCGCAUUAGCUAGUUGGUAAGGUAACGGCUUACCAAGGCAACGAUGCGUAGCCGACCUGAGAGGGUGAUAGGCCACACUGGAACUGAGACACGGUCCAGACUCCUACGGGAGGCAGCAGUAGGGAAUCUGCCGCAAUGGGCGAAAGCCUGACGGAGCAACGCCGCGUGAGUGAUGAAGGUCUUCGGAUCGUAAAACUCUGUUAUUAGGGAAGAACAAAUGUGUAAGUAACUAUGCACGUCUUGACGGUACCUAAUCAGAAAGCCACGGCUAACUACGUG
This 497-nucleotide ribosomal RNA is filed under the name uncultured bacterium. Its description in RNAcentral is "partial 16S ribosomal RNA". It matches the Rfam family "Bacterial small subunit ribosomal RNA", at positions 28 to 507 of the family's 1533-position model. The record is from RNAcentral.